UAACACAUGCAAGUCGAGCGGUAACAGAAAGAAAGCUUGCUUUCUUUGCUGACGAGCGCGGACGGGUGAGUAAUGCCUGGGAAUAUGCCUUAGUGUGGGGGAUAACUAUUGGAAACGAUAGCUAAUACCGCAUAAUGUCCUUGUUCAUUACGAGCGGGACCAAAGAGGGGGACCUUCGGGCCUCUCGCGCUAAGAUUAGCCCAGGUGGGAUUAGCUAGUUGGUGAGGUAAAGGCUCACCAAGGCAACGAUCCCUAGCUGGUCUGAGAGGAUGAUCAGCCACACUGGAACUGAGACACGGUCCAGACUCCUACGGGAGGCAGCAGUGGGGAAUAUUGCACAAUGGGGGGAACCCUGAUGCAGCCAUGCCGCGUGUAUGAAGAAGGCCUUCGGGUUGUAAAGUACUUUCAGUCGUGAGGAAGGCAUUGUAGUUAAUAGCUGCAGUGCUUGACGUUAGCGACAGAAGAAGCACCGGCUAACUCCGUG
This 484-nucleotide ribosomal RNA is filed under the name uncultured bacterium. Its description in RNAcentral is "bacterial SSU rRNA". It matches the Rfam family "Bacterial small subunit ribosomal RNA", at positions 49 to 507 of the family's 1533-position model. The record is from RNAcentral.